Molecule: ribosomal RNA, 253 nt
Filed under: uncultured bacterium
Lineage: Bacteria
Description: partial 16S ribosomal RNA
Rfam family: Bacterial small subunit ribosomal RNA
Source: RNAcentral
UACGUAGGCAGCAAGCGUUGUUCGGAGUUACUGGGCGUAAAGGGUGUGUAGGCGGCUUUUUAAGUUUGGUGUGAAAUCUCCCGGCUCAACCGGGAGGAUGCGCCGAAUACUGAGAGGCUAGAGUGCGGGAGAGGAAAGUGGAAUUCCCGGUGUAGCGGUGAAAUGCGUAGAUAUCAGGAGGAAUACCGAUGGCGAAGGCAGGUCUCUGGGCUGACACUGACGCUCAUGCACGAAAGCGUGGGGAGCAAACAGG